ACAAGCGGUCGGAGCAGCCUUGUGCUGUGACGGCGUGCCUUUUGCAUAAUGAACCUACGAGUUACUUUUUCCGGCAAGGUUAAGUGUCUUGAGACAUGCAGCCGAAGCGAAAGCGAGUCUGAACAGGGCGUCAAGUCGGAAGGAGUAGACGCGAAACCAAGUGAUCUACCCUUGGCCAGGUUGAAGGUUAGGUAACACUAACUGGAGGACCGAACCGAUAAGCGUUGAAAAGCUUCCGGAUGAGCUGAGGGUGGGGGUGAAAGGCUAAUCAAACUUGGAGAUAGCUCGUACUCCCCGAAAUGCAUUUAGGUGCAGCCUCGCGGGUUACUGAUGUGAGGUAGAGCGACUGAUUGGAUGCGAGGGCUUCACCGCCUAUCAAGUCCUGACAAACUCCGAAUGCGCAUCAGUUUUACCGCGGGAGUGAGGGCAUGGGUGCUAAGGUCCAUGUCCGAGAGGGAAAGAACCCGGACCAUCAGCUAAGGUCCCCAAAUAUAUACUAAGUUGAAUAAACGAGGUUUGACUGCCUAGACAGCUAGGAUGUUGGCUUGGAAGCAGCCAUUCAUUCAAAGAGUGCGUAACAGCUCACUAGUCGAGGGUCCGGGCAUGGAUAAUAAUCGGGUAUAAGGCAGACACCGAAGGCGCGGGAUAGCAUUUAAUAAAGUAUCGGUAGGGGAGCAUACUCACAGCGUCGAAUGGUGUACGUAAGUUAUCCUGGAGCGGUGAGUAAAGCAAAUGUAGGAAUAAGUAACGAUAAGGAGGGUUAGAUUCCCUCCCGCUGUAAGACCAAGGUUUCCCGGGCAAUGCCAAUCAGCCCGGGGUCAGUCGGGUCCUAAGUCUAAGCCGAACGGCGAUGGCGAUGGCAGAGACGGUUAAUAUUCCGUCACUGCCGCAUGGGGCGACGUGGAGACGGAGCAGUGAAACCACCGCGGGGCGACGGAAGUCCCCGUUGAAGAGUGUAGGUGUUGAGGAUGGCAGGCAAAUCCACCGUCCGAGCUGAACUUGAUAGUAUGGAGUCUUCUUCGGAAGAAUCCAAUAGUGUGGGUAAUCAUACUCCCGAGAAAAUCCGCUAAGCUUAACCCAUGCGGCACCCGUACCGCAAACGGACACACGUGGUCGGGUAGAACAUACUAAGGCGUUGAGAGAUUCAUGGUUAAGGAACUAGGCAAAUUGACCCUGUAACUUCGGGAUAAAGGGUCCUCGUGAUGAGCGAGGCGCAGAGAAUAGGUCCAGGCAACUGUUUAACAAAAACACAGGGCUGUGCAAACUCGAAAGAUGACGUAUACAGCCUGACACCUGCCCGGUGCUGGAAGGUUAAGAGG
RNAcentral lists this ribosomal RNA (1319 nucleotides) under Florenciella parvula. RNAcentral describes it as "partial Bacterial large subunit ribosomal RNA". It matches the Rfam family "Bacterial large subunit ribosomal RNA", at positions 566 to 1884 of the family's 2925-position model. The record is from RNAcentral. Lineage: Eukaryota; Dictyochophyceae; Florenciellales.